Molecule: long non-coding RNA, 657 nt
Organism: Dalotia coriaria
Lineage: Eukaryota; Metazoa; Arthropoda; Insecta; Coleoptera; Staphylinidae
Exons: 2
Source: RefSeq, a predicted model, not a curated record
UCUAUUAAUCAACAGUAACAGUUAGCACCGGCUAAAUAUUCUACCUACUUCAAUGGUGCAAUGAAUCGAUUGUGUGCAUAGUAAAAAGCGGUAAUAAUGUAGUUUAUUGAUUAUCGUUGUGUAGGCAUGAGGAUGUGAGGAUGACAACAUGUAUUUCAAGCUAAUAUAAGUGUACUUACUCGUUGCUGACGCCUCCAAUGCCCACAACCGACUGGCAGAUCGAAAUUGUUAUGGACGAAGUCGGCGCCGCACACGCAAAAACACGAUAGAAACGAGACGCAAAUAGACGAUUGACGAUUCGAUUCGACGAACAACAAAAUGAGUCAUAGAGAAUUUCUGUAUACUACCAUGGUAGAUUCAAUAUUGCGCAAGAAUGCGACAAAAAUGUAAUUUUUACUAUUGCUCAUCGCCAUCCUUUCCUUAGGUUAGAACAUUUCACAGUAAACAAUCGCAAAAAUUCACAUGCAAAUAAGAUAAGCCGGGUAAGAAAAUUUAUUGAUGCAGGUGCACCUGCGCAUAUGCAUGAUGCGCUCUUUCAAAACUGAAAUUUCCUACAAAAUCAACCUGAAGAGCAGAUACAAUAUUACAAUGUCAAUCCAAUUCUCCUGCAAAGCAAUAGACAAUUAAACGGUAGAAAAUAAAUCAUCAUACAAUCCA